AACGAACGCUGGCGGCAUGCCUAACACAUGCAAGUCGAACGAGACCUUCGGGUCUAGUGGCGCACGGGUGCGUAACGCGUGGGAACAUGCCCUUAGGUUCGGAAUAACUCCCCGAAAGGGGUGCUAAUACCGGAUAAUUUCUUCGGACCAAAGAUUUAUCGCCUUUGGAUGGGCCCGCGUUGGAUUAGCUAGUUGGUAGGGUAAAAGCCUACCAAGGCGACGAUCCAUAGCUGGUCCGAGAGGACGAUCAGCCACACUGGGACUGUGACAGGGCCCAGACUCCUGCGGGAGGCAGCAGUGGUGAAUAUUGGACAAUGGGCGAGAGCAUGAUCCAGCCAUGCCGCGUGAGUGAUGAAGGCCUUAGGGUUGUAAAGCUCUUUUACCCGGGAUGAUAAUGACAGUACCGGGAGAAUAAGCUCCGGCUAACUCCGUG
RNAcentral lists this ribosomal RNA (433 nucleotides) under uncultured bacterium. RNAcentral describes it as "partial 16S ribosomal RNA". It matches the Rfam family "Bacterial small subunit ribosomal RNA", at positions 29 to 507 of the family's 1533-position model. The record is from RNAcentral.